RNAcentral lists this long non-coding RNA (347 nucleotides) under Hordeum vulgare. RNAcentral's name for it is "long non-coding RNA (HVUL_LNC012026)". The record is from RNAcentral. Lineage: Eukaryota; Viridiplantae; Streptophyta; Magnoliopsida; Poales; Poaceae.
UAUAGUACCAAUAUUGGGCCUUGCGAGAGUUUUAUCCCAAAACAAAAAUCAAGAGGGUCCCCAUAAUAACCCCAAGCAUGUUAGGAGCGCUCAAUAUGGAACAUAACACCGAUUCACAAGUAACUAGGGCAGCAAAGGUGGAACAAAACACUGAGCUAGAAGUCCAAGCCUUUCACCUUUUACCAAGUAUAUAUGUGCAUUAAACAAAAUAACAAUAAUAUCGUGAUAUAUCAAGGAAUCCAUGUUGUCACAUGGGAAGCAACUUGCACCUUCAACUAGCAACCCUAUAAGAAGGGUUGAGCAAGCGGUAACAUAACCAAACAAAGGUUUGUUGGGAUGUGCACGGG